Molecule: RNase P RNA, 387 nt
Filed under: Facklamia lactis
Lineage: Bacteria; Bacillati; Bacillota; Bacilli; Lactobacillales; Aerococcaceae
Description: Facklamia sp. DSM 111018 RNase P RNA component class B
Rfam family: Bacterial RNase P class B
About the family: Ribonuclease P (RNase P) is a ubiquitous endoribonuclease, found in archaea, bacteria and eukarya as well as chloroplasts and mitochondria.
Source: RNAcentral
AAUUUCAGGUAAUCGCGGUCAAUUAUUUGACUGAGGAAAGUCCAUGCUCGCACAAGCUGCAAUGCUUGUAGUGUUCGUGCUUAGCGAAACAAUAAGCUAAGGUAGCCUUCGGGCUAACGGCGGAAGAAAUUUCUAAGGUCUUUAAAUGACUAUGAAUAAGUAUUCUGUAACGUGCCACAGUGACGAUACUUUAUGGAAACAUAAAGGUGGAACGCGGUAAACCCCUCGAGCGAGCAACCCAAAUUUGGUAGGGGCACUCUUUAGAAGGAAUGAAUUGUUGAAAGAAACAAUUAACAGACAAAGAGACAAGAUCACUUGUAGAUAGAUGAUUACCCCUUGAUAAAACGUACCUAUCAUUUUAUCAAGGACAGAACAUGGCUUAUCGAA